UCUUUUCUUUCAGAGUUAUCAGUUUACCCCAUGUGAGAGUAGGUUUCUUGCUUAAUUCCAUUAAUUUUCUUCUCUCCAGUUCUUACCAGUUGGGAAGUACUUGCAUUAUGAAGGUAACUCAAGAUAAAAAGGUGUCUCCAAGAACUGUUUUUCUAUCCACCGUUUCCAUGUUUUUAACAGAACUUUCUUCAGACAUCUACAGGGUGGGGACUGGAACCCAGGGCUGUGCAGUGAAUGGACGGAGAGGAACGCUCUGAGAAAGCUGCGGUACGUGUGCCGCUGCCGACAGACCUCGCUUGCUGCUGCCCCCGGCGGCAGGCCGCCCGGCUUUGCUGAAGCCCGGCUCCUCGGGAAUGCUGGGAAUGUUGAGUCAGGGACUGGCAGCCCAGCUUGCCGGGCUCGGAGCUGACUGAGGGACGCUCGCUGGGGGACAGAAAGACGAGGGACAGGAGCACGCAGCCCCCUCAAGAUAAGAGCGGGGUCCCUCUGCCUCGCCCCGUGGGCGCUCGGCGGCCCCGGCUCUCCCUGCUGCCUCCUUCCUCCGUGCAAGCGAGAUGUCAGCCGAACGUGAUGUUGUAAAAUCCAUGUGAGGAUGAAAGACAGAUGCAACGAUUUGAAAGGUAUCUGAAUCGGAAGAAUUUUUGCCUACUGGAAGAAUGCAGUGAAACUGCCAAUAUUUUUAGCUGGAAUUAUAAAUUUAACAUUCAACUUUAGUCUUACUAGUUUCUUACUAAACAGUACCUCAAAGUAGAAGAAAGAUGUACGGAAGUGCGAGAACAAUCAGCAACUUAGAAGGAAGUCCCUCCAGGUCUCCUCGUUUGCCAAGAUCUCCUCGCCUGGGCCAUAGGCGAACAAGUAGUGGAGGAGGAGGAGGAACAGGUAAGACGUUAUCAAUGGAGAACAUCCAGUCCCUUAAUGCAGCCUAUGCAACAUCUGGACCAAUGUAUCUGAGUGACCAUGAAGGUGUAGCUUCUACUACUUUCCCAAAGGGCACAAUGACUCUUGGAAGGGCUACAAAUCGAGCUGUGUAUGGUGGUCGAGUCACAGCUAUGGGAAGCAGUCCUAAUAUUGCUUCAGCUGGACUGUCCCACACAGAUGUCCUUUCUUACACUGAUCAACAUGGAGGUCUGACCACAUCUUCACACCAUCAUCACCAUCAGGUUCCUUCUAUGCUGAGACAGGUUAGAGAUAGUACUAUGUUAGACCUGCAGGCUCAGCUUAAGGAACUACAGAGGGAGAAUGAUCUUCUCAGAAAAGAACUAGACAUUAAAGACAGCAAGCUGGGAUCCUCCAUGAAUAGCAUCAAAACUUUCUGGAGUCCUGAAUUAAAGAAAGAAAGAGUAUUGAGGAAGGAAGAAGCAGCCAGAAUGUCAGUUCUUAAAGAGCAAAUGAGAGUUUCCCAUGAAGAAAAUCAGCAUCUGCAAAUGACAAUCCAGGCUCUUCAAGAUGAGCUUAGAACCCAGAGAGACCUUAAUCAUCUUCUCCAGCAAGAAAGUGGAAACCGAGGUGCUGAGCAUUUUACUAUUGAGCUAACAGAGGAGAAUUUUCGAAGACUUCAGGCAGAACAUGAUAGGCAAGCUAAAGAGCUUUUCCUGUUAAGAAAAACUCUAGAAGAAAUGGAACUAAGGAUUGAAACACAAAAACAAACACUAAAUGCUAGAGAUGAAUCAAUAAAAAAGCUUCUGGAAAUGUUGCAAAGUAAAGGUUUGCCCUCUAAAGGAAUGGAAGAUGACAAUGAGAGAACUCGAAGGAUGGCAGAAGCUGAAUCUCAGGUUAAUCAUUUAGAAGUGAUAUUAGACCAGAAGGAGAAGGAAAACAUACAUCUUAGAGAGGAAUUACAUAGAAGAACUCAGCUUCAGCCUGAGCCAGCAAAGACGAAGGCUCUUCAAACAGUUAUUGAAAUGAAGGAUACAAAAAUAGCUUCACUUGAGCGCAAUAUAAGAGACCUUGAAGAUGAAAUACAGAUGUUAAAGACAAAUGGAGUUCUGAAUACAGAGGAUCGAGAAGAAGAAAUCAAACAAAUAGAAGUUUACAAGAGUCACUCGAAGUUCAUGAAAAAUAAGAUUGACCAACUGAAACAAGAACUCUCAAAGAAAGAAUCAGAACUUCUUGCCUUACAAACUAAGCUUGAAACCCUUAGCAAUCAGAAUUCAGAUUGCAAGCAACACAUUGAAGUGCUUAAAGAGUCACUUACUGCCAAAGAACAGAGAGCUGCCAUACUUCAGACAGAGGUUGAUGCCUUGCGGUUACGAUUGGAAGAAAAAGAAACGUUUCUCAAUAAAAAAACAAAACAACUUCAAGACCUCACAGAAGAGAAAGGAACCCUGGCUGGAGAGAUUCGGGAUAUGAAAGACAUGUUGGAAGUAAAAGAAAGGAAAAUUAAUGUCCUUCAAAAAAAGAUUGAAAAUCUACAGGAGCAACUUAGGGACAAAGACAAACAACUAACUAAUUUAAAGGACAGAGUGAAGUCAUUGCAGACAGAUUCUAGUAACACAGACACAGCACUAGCCACCUUAGAAGAAGCUCUAUCUGAAAAGGAAAGAAUAAUAGAACGCUUGAAGGAGCAAAGGGAACGAGAUGACAGAGAAAGACUUGAAGAAAUUGAAUCUUAUAAAAAGGAAAACAAAGACUUGAAGGAGAAAGUUAAUGCUUUACAAGCUGAACUGACAGAAAAAGAGUCUAGUUUAAUCGAUCUCAAAGAACAUGCAUCUUCAUUGGCAUCAGCAGGGCUGAAAAGAGACUCCAAACUUAAGUCUUUAGAAAUAGCCAUAGAACAAAAGAAAGAAGAGUGUAGUAAGUUGGAAGCACAGUUGAAAAAGGCUCAUGAAGCCGAAGAGGAGGCACGGAUGAAUCCAGAAUUUGCAGACAGAAUGAAACAGCUUGACAAGGAGGCAUCAUACUAUAGAGAAGAAUGUGGCAAAGCUCAGGCCGAGGUUGACAGACUUCUAGAAAUUCUCAAGGAAGUAGAGAAUGAGAAGAAUGAUAAAGAUAAGAAAAUUGCUGAAUUAGAAAGACACAUGAAGGACCAAAACAAGAAGGUUGCCAAUCUGAAGCACAAUCAGCAACUGGAGAAAAAAAAGAAUGCACAGCUGUUGGAAGAAGUUCGUAGACGAGAGGACAAUAUGACAGACAACUCUCAACAUUUACAAGUAGAAGAACUGAUGAAUGCAUUGGAAAAGACUAGACAAGAACUAGAUUCUACCAAAGCCCGUCUUGCCUCAACACAGCAGUCUUUGGCUGAGAAGGAAGCACAUCUGGCUAACCUAAGAAUAGAGCGGAGAAAGCAACUUGAAGAAAUUCUAGAAAUGAAACAGGAAGCACUGCUUGCUGCAAUUAGUGAAAAGGAUGCAAACAUUGCCUUGCUUGAACUGUCUGCUUCAAAGAAAAAGAAGACACAAGAGGAAGUAAUGGCUCUUAAAAGAGAGAAGGACAGAUUAGUACAUCAGUUAAAACAGCAGACACAAAACAGAAUGAAACUAAUGGCAGAUAACUAUGAUGAUGACCAUCACCACUACCACCAUCAUCACCACCAUCACCAUCACCGAUCUCCUGGGAGGCCACAACACUCCAACCACAGACCCUCUCCAGAUCAGAUGAUCCAGUCACUGUUGGAGGCACAUAGCCACGGCAAAAUCUCAUGCUGUACAUUGAUCACCUGUCCAACCUUUGCCUAGAGUGUGAUCCCCAGUUCCUUCAAGAGAUCCAUCUUUACCUGUCUAUAAAGAAGAAGAGGAGGAGGGAGACAUCUGGGAUAUUCAAGUAUCAAAGUUUAACACCAGAGCAGUUGUCAGAGGAACUAGUGAAAGAGGAAGAAAAAACCUAGCACUGGAAAGUUACGAUGAUAAUCUAUUGCAUUGGAUCUCCAAACAUGACCAUGAUAUCCUGGAGAAGAUCACAGAUGCAGAAAAUAAAUUCUAAGGUUGAUAUCUAACGAAAUGCUGCAUUAAUUGGCGUCUUCUCCAUUAUUUCUAGUAGUCUGCUGUGAAAUUAGAUACUUUGUAAAACAACGAAGGAGACUCAAGCAGAAAUUACAAAAGCUUUAUUUCUAUCUUUAAUGGGUCUUGCAAGUUAUUGUUUUCACAAACAAACCAAGUGUUCAAAUAUUAUUGUUUAAUGAAGUUCAUUUAAUCAGGUUAUGUAACUCUUUUUUGGUAAAUUGAUAUUGAUUUUAAUAAGUAAUUUAGAUGUAGGUAAUUUAGGUAUGGUAUCUGCAUUUGCUGAUUUUACCUAGACUAUUCUAAAACUUCUAUUGCACUAGAUUAUCAAAGAGGUAUUAGUAAAAUGUUAUAUAAAGGGCGUUGGCAUUAAUCUUAACCCCAAUUAGAUGUGGGCUUUUCAAAAAAUUAAAACCAAGCCUUUACCCUCCUCUGUUUUCUUACAUCUACUGAUAAUUAUAAUUAAAACAAACAAACAAACAAACAAACAACAAACCAAAAUGAAAACAAACAAACAAGAAAAAAAACAGCAACAAAAAAAGAAUGAAGAAAAUCACAUUGAUAGUAUAACCGGUAUUAAGCUCUGGGCCAGGUUGGAAAUGAAAUCAAUUUUUGGUACUAAUAACUGAUGGCAAAGAUUAACUCUAUGAAAAUAUGGUGUGUGUCUCUGACAAUGCAUAGGACAUCUAAUUUGAUCAUAAAUAUACAAUUAUAAACAAGAUGUAUCUAUUCCUGGAUGGUAAAAGCUUGAGGCGUAUAUAAAUACAUAUGUUUGUAUAUAUAUGGACUAUAUGGACAUAUACACAAGGAUGUAUCAACCUUUUACCAUCCAAAUGCAUACAGAUCUUCAACAAUGAAAGCUGGGACUCUUUAAAAAAAUAAAAAUAAAGUAAGAUUGCUGUGAAUACAGUAUAUGCACUAGGUCUCCUGUAAAUGAGGAACUGUUUGUUAUCAUUUUCUGCGUUGAAAAACAGUCUCCAACAUGGAUCCCAAUGACUUUUAGAUGUUAAAGAAGAAAAUAACAAUGAACAAACAGCCCAUAGAGGCUGUCUGAAUCACCAAAAUAUGUCUAGCGAAAUAAAUUUAAAGCACAUGCAAGGAAAAAUAGAAAUGUGAAGUCAUUACAUUCAGUGAGAGAAUAUUAACUGAUAGAUAAAUGUCUACGACUUCUCGAGGAGAGGAUCCUUGUGACUCCAUGAACAUUUUUGGUCAGUCUGGCAAACCUACAAAUGUUUGGCUGUUUUACUGGGGCAUCUUUUCGUCCAUGGGAGAAAUGCUUCCAUGGUGAUAGGAGUGGGAAUAGAAUAUCUACAUUUUUAAAGGACAAACAAUAAAUUUAAGCAUGGGUGGCCUUAAUCCUUAGUAGUUUUUCUUUGCUGCUGUAAAAAAGAAAAAUCUAAGUGGAUACUCCUGAAGUCUUGCACUGAAUUUAGAAAAAAUAUUUUUUGAACCUGUGGUGCAAUUAACCCUAAACAUCCUACAUGAGCCAUACAUAUAGCCCUCUAAAGUGAUUGUCUAGAGAUGAUAUUUUAUUUAUUUGUACCAUAAUUCGUGGUGCAGUCAAAGAGCAAUUUAUUUGAGCAGGAGUCCUGCUGGAUGCUACUGUUUUCCAUAGAUAGAAAAUGUAUAGAAUUAGUAUAGCACAGAUAAUCCAAAUUUCAUUCAUGUUUAAAAAGUUUGUCCUUUAACUAUCAAUGGCAUUUUAGAUCUUUGUUUUGAAACAGCAAAGCUUUUGGGAGUAUAUUUAGCACAUAUGACAAAUGUUGCACUUGGAAACUCAGACAACAAAGCUUAGUUUCUUGUGACAAAUUUGUUGUCACAGUAGGGGACAAUCGUCUGUGUCUCUUACAAUCAGGUCUUAACCUUAACUCUGCAACUGAAUACUUGAAGUAGGAAAUAAACUAGGGGGAAAUAGGUUCAGACGCAAAGCUGUAUAGUUAGAUAUUUAUAUGUAUGUGCCAAUUUUGUCACAGGUAUUACUUUAGGGGCAUUUUUGCUCCAUUCAUGUUGGUAACAGUAUUGAUCUAAACUUUUAUCAGGGCCUACAGGUUAGCCCUAAGGAGGAAAACUCUGUCUAACAUUGCUUCUUUCUUUAUCUUUCUUUUUUCUUUUCUUUUUUUUUUUCAUUUCAUGUGAUACUCUACGAUGUUUGCAGAAAAUCUUUUCAUAUACUAAAAUAGAAUCUCGGGGUUUACAAUAAACACUGUGAUGUUGGGAAAAUAUUUUAUUUGAGCAAUGUUUGGUAGUUUUUUUCCCCCUUGAAGUGUAAAGAAGCAACCAACUUUUGGUUAACACUUAAGAUAAUGAUUAUUAUUUUAAUGUGAGAUCAGUCUUGUACUGCGCAUUCUUUCUUUCAUUUAAAUGUACAGUAUGAAUUUUGUAUUUGAUGAAUUUUGUGUAUCCAGUAUGCACGUACCUGCGCAUUGACUUUCAUUUGAAAGUGAGUUUCAAUUUACUUUUUAAACAGUGUUUAUGAAAAGACCUCAGAUGUGUUGACACAAAGUAUAUCUGCAAUGUUUUUUUUUUUUCUGUGUGUAGGGUGACGUUUGAAUGUGAUGUUCUGCAGCAAUGGGUCAGUAUUCCCUAAUAACCUUAGAUCCUCAUUUGAUAGUGCUUCUUGUAAUAUUUUUUUCAAGUGAGUGGCAUGUUCUGGAUUGUGAUAUUGAUAUGUGGUUAAGGAUAUCGAUAUGAAACUAAGGAAUUCCUAGAAAUUAACAGUGGGCAUGUAUUAGACAGUCAUUGUAAUUUAAUGUCUAGUAGAAGUGUAAAGUACCAAGGUAUUUAGAGUUCAUAACAUUGUUAUCAUGUGUAUGGAAGUAUUUAGUGUUGAUCAUCUUGUUUAUAUUCAUCAAAUAAACUUUGUUUCUUU
Meleagris gallopavo (turkey) is the source of this 6804-nucleotide non-coding RNA. NCBI's taxonomy places the organism in Eukaryota, Metazoa, Chordata, Aves, Galliformes, Phasianidae. The record is from RefSeq and is a predicted model, not a curated record.